RNAcentral lists this ribosomal RNA (438 nucleotides) under uncultured bacterium. RNAcentral describes it as "partial 16S ribosomal RNA". It matches the Rfam family "Bacterial small subunit ribosomal RNA", at positions 338 to 795 of the family's 1533-position model. The record is from RNAcentral.
CCUACGGGUGGCAGCAGUGGGGGAUAUUGCACAAUGGAGGAAACUCUGAUGCAGCGACGCCGCGUGAGGGAAGACGGUCUUCGGAUUGUAAACCUCUGUCUUUGGGGAAGAAAAUGACGGUACCCACAGAGGAAGCUCCGGCUAACUACGUGCCAGCAGCCGCGGUACUACGUAGGGCGCGAGCGUUGUCCGGAAUUACUGGGUGUAAGGGGAGCGUAGGCGGGUGAGAAAGUUGAAUGUUAAAUCUACCGGUUUAACUGGUAGCUGCGUUCAAAACUUCUUGUCUUGAGUGAAGUAGAGGAAGGCGGAAUCCCUAGUGUAGCGGUGAAAUGCGUAGAUAUUAGGAGGAACACCAGUGGCGAGGCGGCCUGCUGGGCUUUAACUGACGCUGAGGCUCGAAAGCGUGGGGAGCAAACAGGAUUAGAUACCCUUGUAGUC